ACACGACUACAUUAGAUACCCGCGUAGUCCUAGCCGUAAACGAUACUCGCUAGGUGUCGGCCACGGUGCGACCGUUGUCGGUGCCGUAGGGAAGCCGUGAAGCGAGCCACCUGGGAAGUACGGCCGCAAGGCUGAAACUUAAAGGAAUUGGCGGGGGAGCACCACAACGGGUGGAGCUUGCGGUUUAAUUGGAUACAACGCCGGAAAUCUUACCGGGACCGACAGCAACAUGAAGGCCAGGCUGAAGACUUUGCCGGAUUAGCUG
RNAcentral lists this ribosomal RNA (265 nucleotides) under uncultured archaeon. RNAcentral describes it as "partial 16S ribosomal RNA". It matches the Rfam family "Archaeal small subunit ribosomal RNA", at positions 717 to 982 of the family's 1478-position model. The record is from RNAcentral.